GAGCACUGUGUUGAUGUUUUGAAAGCUCAAGAAUCUUGUUUAUUGAACUUGUAAUCACCACUUCACAUUUAUUUGUACUUUGGUUUUAUUCACAUGAUAUCGCAAUCACUUUUUGAUAGAUCAUCCAUCACUCCACUAUUCUAAAUCAAACACGGUUAAUUCUUAAGUUCUUUUUGAACGUGUGACAAAAAAUAAAUAUAUUUUGAUAACAUAAUUAGUUAAACCGAUUCAUUAAAAAAAUUCAACAUAUACCGUAAACCGAAAUGUUACAGUUAGAUCUCGUGUUUCCAAAAAAUUACUCUUUAGUUUUCUCAUCCUUAAGUUUUUUUGGCAUUUUACGCCAAUCGUGAAGAAGUAUCCUAUGCUUUUUUUUUUUUUUUACUUUUGUGUUUUGGAUCUAAUUAAUGGAGUAAAUGCAGACUUUGAUUUUUUUUUUUUAAAACAACAGUUGCAGAUUAUGAAUAUUGGAGGCAUUUAUCUAUCUCUCUGCAGUGUGUCGUGUGGUUUUUGAUGUGAUGAUGCUCUACGCUAGCUCCAUAAAUAGCUUCAGCAAUUCCUUGAUAUAAUUCGACAAUGGUGCUCUCUGUUUAGAGAACAUUAGAAAAAUUAUUUAGAAUUUCAUGCAGAGUUAACGAAAUUUAAAGAACAAAUUAUAUUCUAAACAUGUGUUUUAUUCUAUGUAUAGAUUUAUAAUUUAAUCUUAAGAGAAAUUUAAAAAUGAUAGCAUAUUUCAAAUUUUUAUUCUAAAAAUUAUUAUAGAAAUAUACAUCGAAACAAAACAGAUUUCUAUAAUUGGAUUUUAAACUUUUAGGAAAAUACAUAAAC
Molecule: long non-coding RNA, 825 nt
Filed under: Brassica rapa (field mustard)
Lineage: Eukaryota; Viridiplantae; Streptophyta; Magnoliopsida; Brassicales; Brassicaceae
Description: long non-coding RNA (BRAP_LNC005505)
Source: RNAcentral